AGCCUGAUGAACCCGAAUAUUCGAAAUGAGAAAUUCAUUAUUUUCUAGUAGUUUCAUUCGAAACGAACGGUGGUAUGCACUUUUCUCAGUGUAGAACAUUGCGAUCUAUUUGUAUAUCCGUAUGGAUGGUUUAUCAAAUGGCCCGUAUGGUUUGUUCAUUCCUAUCUGUGGCAUUUUAUGUCAUAUGGUUGAUGCCAUAGCGGUGACCUGGUAAACAGCAGAUAGUUUUUAAAAAUCAUGCUACCACAUUUUAUGUGUAUCACGGCUCAUGUGCUGUUUCAGUGCGUGGGUGCAGUGAUAGCAUGUAUUUGAUUGGCAAUGCGAUAGAUUUGGGAUACCUUCAGGACCCGUCUUGAA
Molecule: ribosomal RNA, 357 nt
Filed under: Adrama apicalis
Lineage: Eukaryota; Metazoa; Arthropoda; Insecta; Diptera; Tephritidae
Description: eukaryotic LSU rRNA
Source: RNAcentral